UUUAUUAUUUUACCUUAUGUUAACUGUUUUGUAAAGCGCUUUGUUACAGCUGCCGCUGUUGUGAAAGCGCUAUAUAAAUCAGCAUGUAUUGUAUUGUAUUCGAUUGUCAAGACAAUUCCAGUGUUACGUUCAGUUGACAUUUGCACAAAUUUGUGUUCCUAUUUUUUCAAAUGUCCCCCCCAGCAAAUCAUAGAUCUCAUUUUUUAGGAUCAAACAUCUGGGAAAUGUGUUUUGUGGUGCUCUGGGAACAAUUUCAAACCAUAAUUACAUGUCAAGAAUGCAGCAAGCAAUUACGGUAGCACAACAUAAUUAAGUUGAAGCAAAAUACUUUUUUUUUUAAGAAAG
Long non-coding RNA from Hippocampus zosterae (dwarf seahorse), 345 nucleotides. RefSeq lists it as uncharacterized. NCBI's taxonomy places the organism in Eukaryota, Metazoa, Chordata, Actinopteri, Syngnathiformes, Syngnathidae. The transcript has 2 exons. The record is from RefSeq and is a predicted model, not a curated record.